RNAcentral lists this ribosomal RNA (492 nucleotides) under uncultured bacterium. RNAcentral describes it as "partial 16S ribosomal RNA". It matches the Rfam family "Bacterial small subunit ribosomal RNA", at positions 29 to 507 of the family's 1533-position model. The record is from RNAcentral.
AGUGAACGCUGGCGGUAGGCCUAACACAUGCAAGUCGAACGGCAGCACAGUAAGAGCUUGCUCUUACGGGUGGCGAGUGGCGGACGGGUGAGGAAUACAUCGGAAUCUACUUUUUCGUGGGGGAUAACGUAGGGAAACUUACGCUAAUACCGCAUACGACCUACGGGUGAAAGCAGGGGAUCUUCGGACCUUGCGCGAUUGAAUGAGCCGAUGUCGGAUUAGCUAGUUGGCGGGGUAAAGGCCCACCAAGGCGACGAUCCGUAGCUGGUCUGAGAGGAUGAUCAGCCACACUGGAACUGAGACAAGGUCCAGACUCCUAAGGGAGGCAGCAGUGGGGAAUAUUGGACAAUGGGCGCAAGCCUGAUCCAGCCAUACCGCGUGGGUGAAGAAGGCCUUCGGGUUGUAAAGCACUUUUGUUGGGAAAGAAAAGCAGCAGGUUAAUACCCCGCUGUUCUGACGGUACCCAAAGAAUAAGCACCGGCUAACUUCGUG